CCUACGGGUGGCAUCAGUGAGGAAUAUUGGUCAAUGGACGAGAGUCUGAACCAGCCAAGUAGCGUGAAGGAUGACUGCCCUAUGGGUUGUAAACUUCUUUUAUAUGGGAAUAAAAUGUUCCACGUGUGGGAUUUUGUAUGUACCAUAUGAAUAAGGAUCGGCUAACUCCGUGCCAGCAGCCGCGGUAAUACGGAGGAUCCGAGCGUUAUCCGGAUUUAUUGGGUUUAACGGGAGCGUAGGUGGAUUGUUAAGUCAGUUGUGAAAGUUUGCGGCUCAACCGUAAAAUUGCAGUUGAAACUGGCAGUCUUGAGUACAGUAGAGGUGGGCGGAAUUCGUGGUGUAGCGGUGAAAUGCUUAGAUAUCACGAAGAACUCCGAUUGCGAAGGCAGUUCACUGGACUGCAACUGACACUGAGGCUCGAAAGUGUGGGUAUCAAACAGGAUUAGAUACCCUUGUAGUC
Molecule: ribosomal RNA, 460 nt
Filed under: uncultured bacterium
Lineage: Bacteria
Description: partial 16S ribosomal RNA
Rfam family: Bacterial small subunit ribosomal RNA
Source: RNAcentral